Molecule: non-coding RNA, 894 nt
Organism: Camellia sinensis
Lineage: Eukaryota; Viridiplantae; Streptophyta; Magnoliopsida; Ericales; Theaceae
Source: RefSeq, a predicted model, not a curated record
GAGGAUCUAACUGGGAGAGAGGACAAGACGGUUCUGGAUGAAAUUAGACUGGUUGGAAGGUAGUAGUGGGUUGGCAUUGUCAUCCCUCUCCAAUUUUUCCCUUCUCUAUUUUAUUCUCUUCUCUUCUAUUUCAUUCAUUCUUCAUAGCAAUCUUUUAUUUCAUUUCAUUUUCUUUUUAGAAAACACAACACACACACACUCACUGUCUACUCUCUAUCUAGUUUCUUGGAAACACAGUCUCACAAUCUCUGUACACAAACUUCUCAGUUUCUUUUCUUUGAUUCUGACGAACCCACAAGAACAGGAUUGACAUAGUUGCUGGAGCUGAAGUUUGAAGAUGACGGUGACGGUGACGAUGAUGAUGAUGAUGAGUAGUCUUUUUUGAGAGAUGUUCUCAAAGAGUUCACUGAACUUUUGAUCUCCUCAUUUUAGGUAGUCGGAUUUUCCUACUUACACUGACCUUUCUGGUUCUCAAAAGUGAUUUGGGUUGCUGAUAAGAGUAUCGGAUCUGGGUUAAAGUGGGAAGAGUGGUUGAUUUGUUAUCUUAGUUGGAAAAUUCGUCGAAAAGAUGAAGAGAUGGAAUUGUAGGCAUUGUUUGCAGUAGGUUGCGAGCUGCCAAACUCAUCUGGAUGCUUGAAAAUGAAAGCAUCAAACCAGAGAUAGAACAAAACUAGGAGCAAAAGCGUUAUGGAAUGACACCCCUCAAGAAACCUGUGGAUCUUCAGAGAUUGAAUGAAUUGGUGUCAAUUGGGAACAUCUUGCAAAAUCCAUUAUGGUUCUGGAUCUAUAUUUGGCUUCUUCAGCCAAGAUAAUGUGAGAGUUGGAGAUGUUAUCAUCAAAGAUCAAGUGCAUGAUUGUUUGUAUCAAAUUUCAUGUUGUGUUAUUACUAUAUUC